CACCUCUAGCAUUACUAGUAUUAGAGGCACUGCCUGCCCAGUGACACACGUUUAACGGCCGCGGUACCCUGACCGUGCAAAGGUAGCAUAAUCACUUGUUCUUUAAAUGGGGACUCGCAUGAAAGGCACCACGAGGGUUUAACUGUCUCUUACUUUUAACCAGUGAAAUUGACCUGCCCGCGAAGAGGCGGGCAUAAAAUAAUAAGACGAGAAGACCCUAUGGAGCUUUAAUCUAUUAAUGCAAUCAAAAACUACACAAACCCACGGACCUUUAAACUACUACACCUGCAUUAAAAAUUUUGGUUGGGGCGACCUCGGAGCACAACAAAACCUCCGAAUAACACAUGCUAAGACCACACAAGUCAAAGCGAACUAAUACUUACAAUUGAUCCAAUAAUUUGAUCAACGGAACAAGUUACCCUAGGGAUAACAGCGCAAUUCUAUUCUAGAGUCCAUAUCGACAAUAGAGCUUACGACCUUGAUGUUGGAUCAGGACAUCCUAAUGGUGCAGCAGCUAUCAAGGGUUCGUUUGUUCAACGAUUAAAGUCCU
Molecule: ribosomal RNA, 550 nt
Filed under: Macaca mulatta (Rhesus monkey)
Lineage: Eukaryota; Metazoa; Chordata; Mammalia; Primates; Cercopithecidae
Description: partial large subunit ribosomal RNA
Rfam family: Bacterial large subunit ribosomal RNA
Source: RNAcentral